This 278-nucleotide ribosomal RNA is filed under the name uncultured bacterium. RNAcentral's name for it is "partial 16S ribosomal RNA". It matches the Rfam family "Bacterial small subunit ribosomal RNA", at positions 506 to 784 of the family's 1533-position model. The record is from RNAcentral.
UGCCAGCCGCCGCGGUAAUACGGAGGGCCCGAGCGUUAAUCGGAAUCACUGGGCUUAAAGGGUGCGCAGGCGGACCGGCAGGCAUGUUGUGAAAGUCCACGGCUCAACCGUGGAAUUGCAAUGUGAACCUCCGGUCUUGAGGUAGGUAGAGGUCGUCGGAACGUUCGGUGGAGCGGUGAAUGCGUUGAUAUCUAACGGAACACCAAAGGGGUAGCCAGGCGACUGGGCCUAUCCUGACGCUGAGGCACGAAAGCGUGGGGAUCAAACAGGAUUAGAUA